AGAGAAAAUUGGGUAGUUGCGCUCAUAUUUUUUUGAGUGAGGAAAGUCCGGGCUUCGCAGGGCAGGAUGCCGGAUAACGUCCGGUGGAGGCGACUCUAAGGAAAGUGCAACAGAAAAUUACCGCCUGUAUUUUACAGGUAAGGAUGAAAAAGUGAGGUAAGAGCUCACUAAGUAUGCGGGAGACCGUGUAUUUGUGCAAACCCCAUCCGAAGCAACACUAACCGAAAAAUUAAGUUUGCCCGACAUUUUUCGAAUUGUGGCUUGAUGCCCGAAGCAAUUCGGGUACCAGAUAGAUGACUACCUUAAAUGACAGAACCCGGCUUACAGAUUUUCUCUUUAC
Molecule: RNase P RNA, 340 nt
Filed under: Oscillospiraceae bacterium
Lineage: Bacteria; Bacillati; Bacillota; Clostridia; Eubacteriales; Oscillospiraceae
Description: RNase P RNA component class A
Rfam family: Bacterial RNase P class A
About the family: Ribonuclease P (RNase P) is a ubiquitous endoribonuclease, found in archaea, bacteria and eukarya as well as chloroplasts and mitochondria.
Source: RNAcentral